GAACGCUGGCGGCGUGCUUAACACAUGCAAGUCGAGCGGAAAGGCCCUUCGGGGUACUCGAGCGGCGAACGGGUGAGUAACACGUGAGCAACCUGCCCCUGACUCUGGGAUAAGCCCGGGAAACUGGGUCUAAUACCGGAUACGACCGCCCCCGGCAUCGGGUGGUGGUGGAAAGUUUUUUCGGUUGGGGAUGGGCUCGCGGCCUAUCAGCUUGUUGGUGGGGUAGUGGCCUACCAAGGCGACGACGGGUAGCCGGCCUGAGAGGGCGACCGGCCACACUGGGACUGAGACACGGCCCAGACUCCUACGGGAGGCAGCAGUGGGGAAUAUUGCGCAAUGGGCGGAAGCCUGACGCAGCGACGCCGCGUGGGGGAUGACGGCCUUCGGGUUGUAAACCUCUUUCAGCAGGGACGAAGUUGACGUGUACCUGCAGAAGAAGCGCCGGCUAACUACGUGCCAGCAGCCGCGGUAAUACGUAGGGCGCAAGCGUUGUCCGGAAUUAUUGGGCGUAAAGAGCUCGUAGGUGGCUG
Molecule: ribosomal RNA, 530 nt
Filed under: Nonomuraea jabiensis
Lineage: Bacteria; Bacillati; Actinomycetota; Actinomycetes; Streptosporangiales; Streptosporangiaceae
Description: bacterial SSU rRNA
Rfam family: Bacterial small subunit ribosomal RNA
Source: RNAcentral